Hyla sarda is the source of this 1225-nucleotide long non-coding RNA. RefSeq lists it as uncharacterized. The transcript is spliced from 3 exons. The record is from RefSeq and is a predicted model, not a curated record. Lineage: Eukaryota; Metazoa; Chordata; Amphibia; Anura; Hylidae.
UAGGAGGUCGGGAUGUGAGGACAGGAUAUGGGGUUGGGAUAUGACAACAAUAUAUGAGGACAGGAUAUGAAGUCAAAAGCUUCCUCCUUUGUUUGUUUUCCUCCCCAACAAGGAUUAGGAAGGAAAAAUCGGGCAACGGUAGUUGAUUAAUAAAAUAUAAUAGUCUUGAUAAUAGUCAUGGAGGAUCUGGGAAGCUGGGCGGAGCGUUACAAUGAAUGCGGGACCCGGUAUCCAUUUAAUUUCAGUAGGAUACCUCAUCGCUCGCCCAGUUUUCCUGAUCUCCAUACUCAUUGUAUAUUAGGAUAUGCAUAACCUAAAUAAUGCAUUUCUAAGUAAUUCAUAAAUACUUGUCAGCUCUAUUAAACAUUACACUAAGGGUUUUAUUCAGUUUUGAUACCUGUAAUUAGUUUUAUAUACCAGCUAGUCGUAAUCACUUUCGCAAUCUUCCGAUCCUCUAUUAGGCAUAGCGUUCAAGACUUAGCCCCGCCCCCUGUACGCGUCAGAGGAGGGCGUCGCUUGAGUGACGCAAUUGCCGGGGCGACAGGAUAUGACGCCAGACGCCCUGCAUGGUGAGCACUGAGCAGCCGUCAUUAUCAGUACGGCUCCCCGCCACUGCGGGUUAGUGCGCCAUCCAGGACUCCAUACCGGCAAUGCGGCGAAUAACAGUGACGGACACAAUAACCGGGACUGUCCGGAUUACCACCAUUAGUUGUUAUACACGCCGCGGUUUUGAGUACACCUGUUAUAGUGAGCAACUGAGAAUGGUUGCCUCUAUUGUGCACUGGUAGUGAGCACUGAGUAUCGGGUGCCACUACAGGUUGUUUGAUACCAUACAAUUUUUCCCACAUGCAUAAGUUGUAUUAAAUCCCUGAGGACGCUCCACAUAGGAGCAGAAACGCGUAGGGUUAUGACAAUAAUUGAUGUGGUUUGCAUUUUUCCACUUACUAGUGGUAUGAGUCUUGACAACAGUUUUCUUUAUUUUUGGUGUCGGUUGAUUUUUUGCACUAGAAUUUGAGGUGUUAUUUUAGAAAAACGGAUUAAAAGUUACGUUUUAAAGCACCCCCAUAUUAUUUUUCUUAGCUGGAACAUCUGUCCACUAGAAGGAUAUUCUUGUUGAUAUUGAAAUUGCUGGGAGGAAUGAGCCCCUUGCAGGCUUUACCUAUUAUUUUGCAUUUCCGAAUUUUUAUUAACUCACCUUUCUCUGUUCCCCUGUUGUGCUGCUAUA